This 484-nucleotide ribosomal RNA is filed under the name uncultured bacterium. RNAcentral describes it as "partial 16S ribosomal RNA". It matches the Rfam family "Bacterial small subunit ribosomal RNA", at positions 30 to 507 of the family's 1533-position model. The record is from RNAcentral.
AUUGAACGCUGGCGGCAGGCCUAACACAUGCAAGUCGAGCGGAUGAAGGGAGCUUGCUCCUGGAUUCAGCGGCGGACGGGUGAGUAAUGCCUAGGAAUCUGCCUGGUAGUGGGGGAUAACGUCCGGAAACGGGCGCUAAUACCGCAUACGUCCUGAGGGAGAAAGUGGGGGAUCUUCGGACCUCACGCUAUCAGAUGAGCCUAGGUCGGAUUAGCUAGUUGGUGGGGUAAAGGCCUACCAAGGCGACGAUCCGUAACUGGUCUGAGAGGAUGAUCAGUCACACUGGAACUGAGACACGGUCCAGACUCCUACGGGAGGCAGCAGUGGGGAAUAUUGGACAAUGGGCGAAAGCCUGAUCCAGCCAUGCCGCGUGUGUGAAGAAGGUCUUCGGAUUGUAAAGCACUUUAAGUUGGGAGGAAGGGCAGUAAGUUAAUGCCUUGCUGUCUUGACGUUACCAACAGAAUAAGCACCGGCUAACUUCGUG